This 253-nucleotide ribosomal RNA is filed under the name uncultured bacterium. Its description in RNAcentral is "partial 16S ribosomal RNA". It matches the Rfam family "Bacterial small subunit ribosomal RNA", at positions 524 to 776 of the family's 1533-position model. The record is from RNAcentral.
UACGUAGGGUGCAAGCGUUGCCCGGAUUUAUUGGGCGUAAAGGGCGCGUAGGCGGCUCUGCACGUCCGUUGUGAAAUCGCCCGGCUCAACUGGGCGGGGUCAGCGGAUACGGCAGAGCUUGAGCAAGCUAGGGGGCAAUGGAAUUCCCGGUGUAGUGGUGAAAUGCGUAGAUAUCGGGAGGAACACCAGUGGCGAAGGCGACUACCUGGCCUGUUCUUGACGCUGAGGCGCGAAAGCUAGGGGAGCAAACGGG